This 773-nucleotide long non-coding RNA is filed under the name Elaeis guineensis (African oil palm). RNAcentral describes it as "long non-coding RNA (EGUI_LNC071613)". Lineage: Eukaryota; Viridiplantae; Streptophyta; Magnoliopsida; Arecales; Arecaceae. The record is from RNAcentral.
ACAGACGAAGAGCGUAACUGUUUGACAGUGACGUUUGUAACUGCCUGGUAGUGGGCCAUUCAGAGCUGCCUGGAGUUUGUUACAAAGAGUAGUGGCGUCAGGGAUCGUUCAGAGCCAUGUGGAGUUUGCUACGGAGAGUAGAGUGGUGUCCAUUGUCGUGACUUGCCAGAGAGUAGUGGAGCCACACAGAAUCCGCUGCAGAGAGUGGAGCAGGGUAGUGGCCAUUAUCGUGACUUGCCAGAGAGUUCGGAUCUGUCGGCUGAAGCUCGGCUGGGAUAUCUGACGGAGCGGAAUGGCUCUCUAUCCCGUCGAUCUGGAAGAAGCUUAGAUGCCUCGAAGCUGCUGAUGAGUCUACUACUGUCGGAUACCUUAGGCACUGAUACCACAGGUGGGAGUUAUCUGCUGUAGAAGAUCAGAUGGAGACUUUCCAUUGGUGAAGUCCGACAGGAGUCGGAUUGCUAGAGAAGUCCAUCUGAAAUUCGCCUGAUGUGGAAGCUCGUCUGAAGAUGAUCCGCCAGAGAAGUUCGAUUUCAUGAAGGAUCUGGUGGGGGGUCGGCCGGCGAUGGACUUCGGAUGGCACUGAGGAGGUUCGACAGACGUCGGAGGCGAUCGGUCGUUGUAAGAAUCCAGCUGUCGGAGUCCAUCCGUCAUAGAAGCCCGUCUGGGAUUCGGCUACGAAGAAGCUCGUCUGGAAUCCAGCUACGAAGAAGCUCGGCUACAGUCUACCUGUAAUGGAAGUUCGGAAAAGGUGUGUUUACAGUAGGGGCUCGAAU